ACGUCACAGAUCGCGUUCACCUUUUAGCACUGUGUGGAACUUCUCUCAAAUCAAUGAUGUCUUGUUUUAUGAAAGUAUAGCAACAUACUUGGGCAAACAAAUGCCUCUCGUCUCAUGUUUUCUGAUGGUGAAAAUUAGGACUCUUGGAUUCAAUCCCCACGAAUUUGCUGUUGCUGGUGUUUCUUCCUGGCUGGGUUUGAAAGAGAGGCUGUGGCUGUCGCGUGUUUGACGCUUGAGUAUCCAGCAAGACUCCACCUUCAGCUCGGUCUACCUGGGAGAUGUUGUGAUUCCUUCAGAGUACUUGAAAAGCAUCUUCUUGGACCACAAGGUGCUGGUUGGGCUUGAAUAACCACCAACCCCCCAAAAGUGUCCUGCCCUGCCAAAAUAUCAUCAAUGGGCUUAAUACAGAGGAGAUUGGUAAAGCUCCAGGAGAAGGUUGAAGCAUUGAAGAAAUUUCCUCAGCCACCGAUCAAAACCCAGGGGAAAAUUGGACGAGAGCCUGUCAGCAAGGGUCAAAGAAGAAAGAGAACAGUUACUACAAAGAUGUGUGUAAUAAGAAGUCUUCACCUAUAAAGUAAUAACUAUGAGAAAAUAUUGAAGUGACUUAAUUUGCACCACUCUCUUUGUUUGGCUUAAGUUUUUAAUUUAAUCUAAUAAAAACGAAUUCAUAGAACUGAUAAUGCUGAAUAAUUUUCUCAGCAACUGCAAGUAAGCAAUUUGUAGGUCAGUGUGGAAGGAAAUAUGCAUACUUUGACUGGGCCUCGUAUAGGACUUAUCACAAUCCAUGUGUUGUCAUGUCUCAUUGGCAUUUCCAAAAGCAAUUUCUCCUUUAUAUUCUUCUUUUAUAUUCCAUUAUGGAAUCCCAUUUCCACAUAUGCCAUAUUAUCUCACAAUUUCAAAUUUUUUUGAGUCUUGAUUUUAUAUCUCACUGUUCUGACUUUGUUUCUCGCAAUUCUAAGAAAACAGUCAAAAUCACAAAAUAUAAACAAAACUGUGAGAUAUAAAUUUGCAAUUCUGAAUUGCGAGACAAACUCACUCACAAAAAGACAAUUUUUUAUUUUUGUUUCGUCGAGGAAAUAAAAAAGUGAAAAUUGCGAGAUGUAAAUUCAGAAUAAAAAAGUAAAAACAGGUAAUUGCUACUUUUAAAAAAAGACACAAACCCAAAACUGUAAGAGAAAAUGUUAGAAUUCUGAGUUUAUAUUUUGCAAUUCUCAUUUUGUUUCUCAGAAUUGCCAGUUUAUAUAUUGCAAUUCUGACAUUUCUUUUUCUCCUUUUUUGCCGAGAAACAAAUUGUGAUAAGUCUGAAUUGUGAGAUAAAAAGUCGUAAUUACCUUGUUAAUUUUUAAAAUAAAUAUUUAAUACGUGGUAGAAAUGGGGUUCCAUAGCUUGUUUUCUAGUCCAGCUUUCCAAUGAACCUGGCAUUGUAUUGCUUGGCUCUGUGACAAAUUGUGUUCCUCUAUUGUUGUUCGGUUAAAAGCAUCUGCUGAAUGCCACAUCUGAUUCUAAAUAUUAGCAUUGUCAAACUUGCAUUUAUGUCAGAGGCAAUUCGCACAAUGCAGCUUGGAGAAAUCAACUUAACCAAAAAUAUAAAACUUUACUGUAGUUCACUUAAAAAAUAAAUUUGUC
Long non-coding RNA from Onychostoma macrolepis, 1626 nucleotides. RefSeq lists it as uncharacterized. The record is from RefSeq and is a predicted model, not a curated record. The transcript has 4 exons. Lineage: Eukaryota; Metazoa; Chordata; Actinopteri; Cypriniformes; Cyprinidae.